GCCGGGCGCAGUGGCGCAUGCCCGUCGUCCCAGCUACUCGGGAGGCUGAGGUGGGAGGAUCGCUUGAGCCCAGGAGUUCUGGGCUGUAGUGCGAUAUGCCGAUCGGGUGUCCGUACUAAGUUCAGCAUCAGUAUGGUGACCUCCUGGGUGUGGGGGACCACCAGGUUGCCUAAGGAGGGGUGAACCGGCCCAGGUCGGAAACGGAGCAGGUCAAAACUCCUGUGCUGAUCAGUAGUGGGAUCACGCCUGUGAAUAGCCACUGCACUCCAGCCUGGGCAACAUUAGCGAGACCCUGUCUCU
Molecule: signal recognition particle RNA, 300 nt
Filed under: Cebus imitator (Panamanian white-faced capuchin)
Lineage: Eukaryota; Metazoa; Chordata; Mammalia; Primates; Cebidae
Description: Metazoan signal recognition particle RNA (ENSCCAG00000008866.1)
Rfam family: Metazoan signal recognition particle RNA
About the family: The signal recognition particle (SRP) is a universally conserved ribonucleoprotein. It is involved in the co-translational targeting of proteins to membranes.
Source: RNAcentral